Molecule: long non-coding RNA, 6836 nt
Filed under: Marmota monax (woodchuck)
Lineage: Eukaryota; Metazoa; Chordata; Mammalia; Rodentia; Sciuridae
Source: RNAcentral
GUUAAUGUAUCCUCCACCUAAGGAGGCAGAAAUCUCAGGAAAUGUGGAAGGGGUACAGAUGACACUCAGCACUACAACGGGCGUCAAGGAGGACCCCUGGGAGGAGAUGAAUUGUACUUAACUCCUUCAUAGAAGUCAGGGGGGAGGUGACACCAAAAAUUAGAAUUUAGGGAUGUGGAAGAACCCCUACAGAGAGAAAACUCUGCCCAAUCCAUGGAAUGCAGGUCAGGCUGAAGAAACUAGAUUCACUGGUCCAAAUCCCCAAGCAGGGUCAGAAUGGACCUGGAAUGAGGUUGACCUGAGCCAGGUGAUUCUGUUAAAGUGGUUCAAAUAUAAAUAAUUCUGACCUUCCAUAGGCCAAACCCCAGCCCCUAGGAGAGCCCAGAACCGCACCAGUUCCCUGGGCAGGGAGAGUGAGCCAGAGCAAGUGAUCAUCUGCUACAAAUGUGUUGCUACAUUUCUCUUUAGAAAAAAGGAAGGUGUUCCAGACAUUCAUUUCUUAUUGUUUGAGCUGCAAAUUUCUGUUUUUAGCAAGAAAAAUGAUUGUGGUUCCCAGUGAGACACGAUUCCAGGCAGAACAAAGUGAAUGUGUAAUGCUUCCAACUAAGAAAUGCUUUGAAGUUUGUCAGACACAGCCAGGAGAAGCUCCCUCAGGACUCCUGCUGUCCAUUUUCCCCACACACGGGAUAUGGUGCCACUCACUAAUUAACUGUUAUAAAGGAAUCAGUGCUGAUGUUGUUGAAGGAUUGUGCUCAAUACAGAAAGCAUCUUUUGUUGUCACUUAAGUGAAAUUUGAACUCAAUAAUGCCUUGCUUUUCGAAAGAAAAAAAAAUAGACAGUGGUUUCUACUUGGCAGCAGUUUCAAGUUAGAUAGUGCAUAUCUUAAGCCAGAGAAUGUAAUAAAACAAUACCAAAAAAAUUAAAGGUCCUAGGGAAGUCUAGCAAUGGGGGUCAGUGGUCCCAAGUCUGCUGAACUGGCUACUAGAAAAGAAACAAUACACUCUGGAGUUUUCUAAGGUAAGAGAAGGCUCUAGAGAAGCAGGAUGGGAGACUACAAUGUGGUAGGCUCCUCAAAGAAUAGUCUGGAAUAGGAUAGUCCUGAGUGUAUGAAAUGAAGGAGGCAGAGUGUUGAGGGCAGAGGAAGACAAAGGACAAGCCUCGGCAGGCAUUUCCAGACCUCAGGUGCUGUGGGGAAAGCGGGCAGGGGCUUUGUGUGCACGGGGAAAUAAAGAGGGCCAACACUAUUCUAAUAGAGGCAGGGCAGAGAAAUUCACAUUUUUAAAAUAUAAAAAUAAAAAUCUUAGUAAAGUUUUAUAAAUUCGAGCAAUUCAGGCACUUGCCUUUAAACAUUUUUGACUUUACAAUUUCUUGCUGAAGUAAAAGCUUAUCCACAUUCCCAAAAACAUUAGUGGCUGACUUCCCUGACCUCUCUCUGUUCUUUGCCAAGUUCUUCCUGUUAAUUCGGUUCCUCUGCUUUCUGAUUUACUGGGUCCACUACUUCUCUGAGUGGGACAUGCAUAGCAUCUGAUUCUAGGUGGCCCACAGAUAAACUUUUUCUUUUGAAUUGCUUUUAAUAGAGAUCAGAAUAGUACAAGUAGGUCAUCAAAACCAUAUGACUAAGUUUCCUUAUAAGUUAACUUAUAAGUUAUAAGAGUGACUAAAAUUAAAGAAAUUAUUUAGCAAAUUGUAACGGAUGGAUUAUAGCCCUAAAAAAGGAGAUGUGUUAAUUGCAAAACUCUGAGCAGGUGCAUUCCAUCAUUUUUUAAAAUGAAAAGAUUAGGAGCAUCCAGACUAUUGCCUACAUUUUUAGCCAACUGAUAGUGGAUUAAAGAGGCCUCACUGUAACCAGCCUUUAUCUUCUCAGAAGUCUACUUUCUUUUGAUGCUUUCUUUCCUCAGGAGCAUCUUUCAAGUUCUUAUUUGCAGGGCUCCCAGGUAACAUAAAACUAACAGAACAGGUCUAUACAAACCCCAUAGCCAUGGAUCCCACUGCACACUUUCACCCUCUAGAUACAGAAAACCUGGGGAUACCAUUUAACUUCAUAAAACAGAAACAGAGAACAGGACUAAAUAGCACACAGCAAGGUGCCACAAUGGACAGAUGUGCUACUGAGCAUGACAGUGACAGGAGUUUAGGAAAAGGCCACCAUCAUCAGAAACCUCCUCACAAAAGUGGGCCACUAGAUGGGCUUAGGAUGCUGUUUUGUAUUUCAUCAUUACAUCAACUACUAUUUUUUGAGUGUCGUCAGACCACAGGGCUAGGCACUUUAUGAAAGUCAAUUAUUUAGUUCUCAUGGUGAUCAUAUGGGACUAGUUACCAUUACUUGCAUUUUGUAAAUCCAGCAACAAUCUCAGAGGGGUUCCCCAACAUCACACAGCUUAACAAAGUCAUAAUUUGAAUCAUCUGUCUGAUUCCAUAAUCUGUGCUCAUUAGCCCCCUACUCUUCUAUCAGGGCUGCGAUCCACUGAAUUUCCACUGGGUAGAAAACCCACAGAGGUUCUUCCUGCUUGGUCCAGCCUGUCCCUCAGGCUCCAGCUGAAUAAGAAACAACAAGCUAUGUAGAUUUCCUUCCAGCUGCCACCCCUACCACCUCCUUCACCAAGGAAGGACUCCUGCCCCCACACCAGAGCCAGUUACCCAGACAGCCAUUCUCCUUCCACAGGAGGAGCCGGGAGGGGUCCAUCCCUCACAUUGCACCCCAGGGCCUGAGACCCCCUAAACACAUAAAGGUCCAGAUGAUGACUGGAGCAUCUCUUUUCCCCAAGGAGAGCAAUCCAUAAAAUCCUGGGUUAUCAAUAUGUUUCCAACAUUCCAAAAGAUAUGUUUCCCACUGCUCCCAACCACUGGGCUGCUAUCUUUGGCAUCCUCUCUCAUUCAUGAUGAGUAUGUCUCAGAAUGGAGACUUUGCACCUGUACAUCCCUCUCCCUGGAGGCAUUUUCUCCUAGAGACUCAGUAUAGCUUUCUUUCCUCCUCCUCCAGGUCUAUACUCAAAUGUCACUUCCAGUAAGGUCUUCCCCAACCUGUGAUUCUGCAGAUCCCCUUUCCUAUUAUGUUAUUUAUAGUCCUCUUGUCCACCUGAAACUUUGCAUUAAUUUGUCGUCUGUCUCCCCUGUUCCAUGAGAGCAAAGACUUUUCAGUUGUUCCUUACUAUAUCCACAAGUACAUUCAAGGCACUAAAUAAAUGUUUGUUACAGGAGUGAAUGAAUGAAUAAAUGAAUCGAUCAGAAGACAAGUCAGUUGCAGUUUAGGCAAAAGGAAAUAGAAAUGGAAGUAAGCUGGAAACCUACAGGACCAAAUCUGUGUUCUAACCUGUGACGUGUCACUGUCCCUAUAUGCCAAGCACUAUUCUACGUACCAAGAAAUCAGCAUGAACAGAACAGAAAACCAUGCCUUGUUGGAGCUUACUUUCAAUGGCAUAAGACAGAGGGUAAAAAAAGAAAAAAAAAAGAAAAAAAAUAUAUACACACACACAUUAUUUUAGGUAGAAAUAAGCUCUGUGGGGAAAAUUUUAAGCAGGAAAGUAGAAUAAAAAACUGUAGUGGGAAGAAGCGGUGUGCAAUUUUAGAGAAGUCACAAAAGUCCUCAUUGGAGAGGUGACCUUUGAGCAGAGACCUGAGGAGGUGGCAGCAUGAGUCAGCAGCUAUCUGGAGGAAUUGAUCUUCAGACAGAGGACAUGGCGCUGCCUGGAGUGUGUGAAGAACAGUCAGGAGGACCAUGGUUGGAGGAAAGAGAGAGCCAGGGAGAGAAUUUGAAAAUGAGGUCAGAUUAGUAAUGGGGGUGGGGAAGUGUGGCUGGUAGGCCAGUGUAGGGACUUCUACUUUCAGAGUGGAAAGGGAGGACUGGAAGAGCCAAAUGGAAGUCAGGUAAGACAGAAACCUGAUUCUAGUCCUCACCAUGACCCUACAAAGUGGGCACCAUCCUCAGCUCAAAGAACACCAAGAAGCAGGACUUGUUCUCCCUCUCCAACCUCUCCCAACAGUCCUUCCUGUGAGGGAGCUCUGUACUUACUGAAAUUACAUUCCCCUGCUUCAAAUAAAACUUAUUUCCUCUGAGUCUAAACCUAAUAAACAUUUUAAUAAUUACAUUUGGGGCUUUCUAGUUUACAGAAUGCUUUAGGUACAUCCUUUUAUUUAAUCUUACAACCUACCAACACAGAAGAUAGUAUCUUCAUUUUAUAAAAGAGGCACAUAAAGCUCAGUGAACUUCAGGAACUCAGCCAAAGUUACACACUCUGGGAGGGACAGAUUCAGAUCUCCUAUCCUGCUGCUUCACCACAGCUGAGAAGCACCUUCAUUUUUAGUGAUUCUCAAGUGCUUUAUAAAAAAAUGCAUAGUACUUCCUUGGUUUUGUGAGUGACAUAUAGACAAUCUCAUAGACGCUGAUUUUUACAUAUGACAGAAGCUAAUUUAACUGUCACUUCUAAGUGUGAGUGUGGCACUUAGAGCUUGCUGAAAUUUAGUACUCAUGAAUAUAUUAUUAAAAUAGACUGAAGAACCUAAUUCCAUUAUGUACUGAGAAGUCUGUCUGCUGCACAGCGCUCAGAAGCAAUGCAAAUUUCCCACUGAAUAGCAAACGGAAUUCCUGCAAGGUUAGAAUGAGUGGAGGACAUAACCCACUAGGUCUUCACCCCACCUAAGUGUCACCCAGAGGCGAAGAACCACAGCUCUAGGACCACUGUUCCACUCUUUCUUACCCCCAAUCAAAACAAAAAAAAAUUUUUCCAGUCUACAGUCUCUCAUGCAGAACACAAGUUCUGUCAGAUUGUAACAUGGGAAAAAGCUUGGAUUUCUCUGUGACCCAGAAGUCCUCUGCUGCUUUGACCUGAAACACAGUCCCCAAGACUAAAGGGAACAGACACUGGGCCAGAUAGGACAGAGAAUCCCAUCUAAUGGAUAUCAUGUGACUUGGCAACUGGGGCCAGACUGGGUUGUGUAAAGAGAAAAGUAAAGUGAUUAUUAGAUCAAAUUUAUCAGCUGUAGAAAAAUACCGAUCUCUGGCAAAGGAGCCUAUUUGGAAUUAGAACCACAUAAGCAACUUAUUUUUCUUUCUUAUGACUAAUAUGUUUGGAAUUUGUCUUUAUUAAAUAUUUCCCUAAAUCUCCAGGUUAGGAAAUAGUUCUCAGGUUUUUGAAAAAUUCCUCCAAUGGGUAAUUUAGCAAGGGUUGGUUUGAGGGACAGGGAGUGAAUUUCUGAUCAAAUCCAAGAUGAGGUGUGUGCUCCGGCUAGCCCUCUUAAUCCACUGUCCUUCCUGGCACCUUCAUUGUCUCCUCUCUGCCUGACCUACUCUAGAGAAGCUGUUUCCUCCCCAUCUGUACACUCACCAGGCACAGUUCUAGGACACAACUGUGAACAGACCCCACACUACAAUCCUUCCAGAUGUGUGAGUGUAACGAAGAGCCUUUAAACCGAAACAUGGAGGCCAAGUUCCAAUCUUCUCUUUGACUGAUGGUCUCUGGGACUUUUCUGAAAAAAAAUUUCUAAGGUGUCUGCUGGCUCUAACACACUAUAAUCCUGAUGAUUCUCCCAGACCAAUUCUUAGAAAUAAUUUGGUAGGCAAAACAGGGGAGACCAGUGGUGUGAAUGUCCUGUGACCCAGGAGAAAUUCUGUGAUUUAAUUUAAAAAAAAAAAGUACUGAAAAGAGAUCAAAAUUCUCUCUAUGUAACUGUUAAUUAAUCCUUCAUGAUCAAAGAAGUUUGGACAGAUGACAGCUGAGGCUACUGAGGUGUCACCUAUUACUCUGGUUCGAUGGAUAGAAACUCCAGAGACCUGAGAGUGAGACCCAGCUCAGCCCUCAUUGUCUUACCCACUUUUACCUUCAGGGACAUCAUCUGUGAGACGGAUCUAAUAAUACACCUCACGGAGUUGGUUGCAGCAUUUGUUGAAGUAGUAGAGACACCAGUUGUUUGUCAAGUAGUAUUCAUACACAUGGUAGUCACCUAGGAUUAUUAUGAUCUUUUGGCUCCACAAUGAGUUCGGAACCACUAGUCCCCCAGGCUUCUGAGUCGGUGGCACUUGCUCCAGCCAUAAUGUCCUCCCCCCUCCAACUGAGGCACAGUCCUAUUGUGAUUGACUUAACCUGAGCCCUACAGUUAUGUUUCUGCUCACAAUGAUCAUUUGGCAGCUCACAGAAAAACCAAAAUGAUUCCUUUCUCCCUGCAAAAAUACAAUCCUAAAGCAAGAUGUGGAAGGAAGAAAUAGCAGGUUGAGAUAAUAAUAACAGAAAACCUAGGGACUUUCCUAAAUGUCGACACUCAGAAGAUAAUAGACAUCAAACAAGCUGCCACAAUAUAAUGCUUAGACCUCAGAAACCCUUACAAAGUUCUAUGUCUCCAGCUACCCUUAUUCUGCCCCACCCACCCUUUCCAAACAGAUGAACCAGACUAAUAGGGGCAUAUAGUUUCGAGGUUUUUUGUACUGAGACCUAGAGUUGUGCCUGAACAGCGCAGCUCAUCUUUGGAAGCGGUACUGAACUCAUCGUGGAGCCACGUAAGUUGUGCAAGUUACUGUAGCUAGGUGUGCAUAUACCCUUAGAGUUGUUGGAGCCCAGUACUGAAUGAACAGAGCUUCUUGGGAAGCUGGAAGGUUAUAAAUUGGAAAUCCAUCGUUUGUUGCAAAAAGUCAAGGUAAAAGUUGAGGGAAAGUAUAUUAGGGUUCUAUUAAGAAAAUAUUCUGUGUAUGCUUGGAAACUCUGUGCUAAGUCUUGGUAUUGAUAGGUUUUCUAUGACCAUCUAAAAAAUUCCUAGGUCAAGCUUCUGGUUCUGACCUCCAUGAAUAAUAAAUUUGCAAGCUCUAGAUCAGGAGGGUUUCUCCACUGUUUUUGAGGGAAGAGUCAUGG